Molecule: long non-coding RNA, 5251 nt
Filed under: Ananas comosus (pineapple)
Lineage: Eukaryota; Viridiplantae; Streptophyta; Magnoliopsida; Poales; Bromeliaceae
Description: long non-coding RNA (ACOM_LNC021246)
Source: RNAcentral
UUAAAAAAAAAAGGUGCAGUAAAAGUUUGUUCAUGUGCUUUCACACAAAAUGACAAUACUUUGGGCAUAUAGGCUAUAGAAAAUACAAGCAAUGAUUUUAGCCGUCUUGUUACGAGACCACAACUAAGCGAGCAUUUAUUGUAAUUUUUUGUUAAUAAAGGAGGGAUAGGCUAUGGGACAUGGACAUACCUUAUGCAUAAUGCAAUGAACUAAUGAACCCAGGGUGGGCAAGUGCACCUUUGCCCCCACCUAAAGCCACUUCUAUAAAGAACGUCACUUGAUAACUUAGAAUAAAAUGUAUUUAGCUUGGAGUGGCCAAACUUUGGUGUGGUCAAAAGACAAUACAUAGCCUCGAGAGAAAAUGAAAUAAAGAAAAGCAAAACUAAUUAGCCUCCAAUAAAUUCUACUAGAACUAAUGUUGGCUAAUACAUCACGACAGAUAAUCCUUGUUGAUAGAGAUCAUUACUUAAUUCCCCUAUAUGUACUACACAACACAAAAAUUAUCCUUAGUUUCUGGGGAAAACCAGUCACCACAGUCUAAAAGAAAUGACCACUCACUUGCUCGCAGCUUUGGCAGCUCCAACUCCACCAUGCCCAUCAAAAAUUCCAAACAACCCAAACUGCAGGGCAAGAGUUAAUACAGAUAAACAUAAGAAAAACUACAGUAAUCUGCUUGUAAUAAGACCUGUUCAACACCAGGGAGGGGAUACUGGCAGGAGCACACGUCCUCCAUAGGAAGCCUCCUCCCACCUCGACGAAUGGACAUUGGUUCAGAAGCAAUACCAACUCCAAUUGAUAUUUGACGCUCAACAUGUUGUGAAAUCUGAACCUACAAUAUGUGAGAUAUGAUGGGAAAUAUACAUCACAUUUAGGAUUGAAAAUCAAAAGGGAGCACACAAUUUCAACACAAAGUAAUACUAGGUAAAACAAGUAGCUCCUGCUAGCACAGUUUCAUUUACAAUGUCUAAUAAAAAAGAAUGGGGCGAGAACCUCACUUGCUGGGAUGGUUAAACAAUGCCCAAAGCAGCAUCGAGAUAAGCAAGGUCAGCUUUUUAAGAUUUCAAUGGAGGUGAGAAGGGCCUUACAAGUCAAGAUACUCCUAAAUUUGAAUAAAGAACACUAUAAGACAACUACCAGCGACCUCUUAUUAGAAGUUAGCACACAAAGACUCUACUGACCAUCUUAGAAAAGUCAGUCUCAUCAAAAUAAUUCAAAUAAUUAUUUAUUCUAAUGAAAUCACUAAAUAUUGUUGAUCUCAUGCAAGUUGAAGACCCCACUAAAAUGAAAACAAGAACGUCAGGAUAGAGAUCUGUUGUUUAACUCAUAGCUACAAAUUACAAGACCAAAAGGCAAAUUGGAAACAAACUGAAUAGAAGACAAAAAACAAAGCAGUGACAAGCAUAGAAAAUUCCUGAAUGCUGCUUCAGCUAGUUGAUUGGCAGCAACAUACUAGAGACACAUAGCAAGAGGAUUUCAACGGAUUGAGGAAACACUACUCUACAAACAAAUUUAUUAUGCAAUAAUAGAUGGGAAGGCUUGGCUAUCUUAUCUCAUUAUAGCAAUCACUAUACUUGUAGAUUCAAACUUAAGAAGAUUAAGACAGCACAGAGAUAGAACUGUCUUACAAAAACUUUUGAAGAAGUGCCAAGCGUAAUAACAUCUCCAUCUGCAAGUUCAACAGGAUCACUCCAAUUUCUAGAUCCAACAUCUGGAUGCUGGACCAACUGAGAGUUCAAGAAUGUUCCGUUUAAGCUACCCAUAUCGACUAGCUCCCAUUUUGAAGUCUGCAAGAAGCCACAUAUUAUAGAUUUCUAAGAACGAAGAGGAUGUAAGAGAAAUACAUUAUAAUUUACUAAAGCAAUUAUAGAAACAUGCCAAUAAGUGAAACAAAAAAAGGGCCACAGGGGAUCCUAUUAGUGGGAACAGAAGAUAUUAUAAAACAAUUAAUCAUAGUUUGCAUCUUCAUGAUCACUAGCCUUGAUCAGUAGAAAUAAUUAUCAAAAAGCUUCCAGGCAUAAGAAACAGCGAAGGGAGUAACAAUAUAAAGCUUACAGCCUUACAUUCAUGUUCCACUUGAUAAGCGCAUGCUUUCCUGAAACCUCAGAGUCCUUCAAUAGCAAAUCACUUGGGGAAACUCUUCCAACGGUCAAUGAAAGCUUUGAAGUAUUUGUCGACUGUCGGGAACAACAAAGCCCGCGAGAGGGACCGGCUAUGACCUCCAAGUCUAGGCUGCUUCCUGCAAUUCUAAACAAAAAUCGUCAAUAACGUGCCAUAUAGAAAGCAAUUUCCUAAAAAGAACCAUAUCUAUGGAAGCAGCUUACGAAGAAAAGGAAUAUCCUUGACUGAAAACAUAUGAUUCCUGCCAUUGUCAUUAAUAGUGUCGACACCAUUGUUUAUGUCUCUUCGUACAUGUCUCAAGUCUUCAAAGCUUGCUACUGCUGCAUUCUUAAGAGUAUAACAAACUCGUGGAUCUUCAGAAGGAUCAUUUGUUACAUCAAGUACCAAACUAUCUGAGCAACAAAACUCACUUUGUCUUACCACAAAAAUUUAGAACAUAACAGGCAUUGACUAUGUAAUAUAGUUCUGUACCUUGACUAAUAUGAGAUUUAGUUGAAUGAACCCUCUUUUUAUUGAUAAAACCACGAGCGCUUGGUGAAGUGUUAUUUUCAUCAAUUUGAAUUCUUGAUUCCUCAACAAAAUUUCUAGCCAAAUCGUAGCUUUGGCCUGGCACAUCAUCCACAUUCUCGGAGAAAAGAGGCCUGUUGAGAUCAUCAGCCUGCAAAGGAAGAAAUAAGACUGAUGAUAGAACUCUGUAUAUUCUGCACUUUUAAUAUUGCAAAUAACUAAUUAGUGGAAACAGGUGCAUAGCAUUUUAUCCAAAAACAGAUAACCGAGGCAGCAAAUAAACUUCCUUGUAUUUUUUAACAUAAUUUUAUAACACCGUGUCUGAUAUUUAAUCUAUUUCAAGGAAAAGCAACAAACAAAGAAAAAGUUGGAAACUCAGAUUUUGCAACCCUUGGUUUGCAUCAACAAAUCUAAGAUUAACAGCAUAAGGCUGACUAACAUAUUUUUAUAGCAAUACCGACAUUCCUCAUACAUAAGUAGAUAACAUUGUGAAUAACUAAUUCAGAAGUUAUGCAAUUGGUAAAAAUCAUUCAACAUUGUGAUCAAAUUGGUCCUGAACCAAGUCAAAGGACAGUUUCGAAUGUAUCAGAGUAGCAAGAACACCGAUAAUGCAUUUUUAUAGAACAACUCCAUUAGUUUGCCCUUUGGUACUAAGCCUCAUACCAACCAUGGCCGAGUCAUUUAGUUUGCCUUUUGGUAUGACAUUAAACUGCAAAUUCACCACACAGUAAAUCAAAAAAGGAACAAAAAGGGACUCCAGAAACAUGUUUAUUGUAAAACUAUUUGAAAAGAUAUGUAGACUAACUAUUCGAAAAGGUCUGUGUAACGAUUUCUUUCAUCAUGUCUCAAAUCGGCUGCAUAUAGAAGUAGGCAAAAGGCCACAAGAAGCACUCUUUAUAGCUAAGCCUUGUCUGAACCGAGCAAAUUGGGUAAUGAUUCAAUUAUCCCCGGUGACACUUGUUGGAGUUUGACAUUCAUCGCAUUCCUUUACCAUCCAAAGUAUGGUAAUGACACCAGCAUUCACCAGUAUAUUCCAGUUCAGAAGUAAAAGAAACUCAUCGAAGACGCUAUCAAGAAGAUGUAGUGAAAAUAAAUUAAGGGACCUGUUGAGCCGAGUAAUGAUGCUCAAAAUUACAAAAUGUCAAGUCCUGGCAUAUGAAAACAGAUUUGCUAGUCAAAUGAUUUUUCGCUGAGACGCAAUAGCCAUCUGGUAUUUUCAGGAAUACAAAGGCCCCGAGAGAAAGCCUCUAUGCUGAACAACAAAAGUCGAAAUAUUAUUUUGAUCAGACAAGCAAAUGUCUUUAAAGAAAUACAGGCUUACAUAAUAACAAACACGAAACGUAGAACCACACCUGCGAGGUUUAUUCACCGGAAAAAGAAAACCCUUUAAUAGCCAGCGAUUUACCACAAAAUCAAAAAGACGAAAAAGACUACAGCUAGAGAUUAACAAAAGAACACAAAAAAAAAAAAAAAAAAAAAAAAAAAAAANAGCAGAAAGAUAGGCGCCGUACGGGCUUUAUAAAUAAAACCGUUAAGUCAGUGACAGAUCGCAUGCUACCAAGUUUUCCAAAAAAAAAAAAAAAAAAAAAAAAAAAAAAAAAAAAAAAAAAAAAAAAAAAAAAAAAAAAAAAAAAAAAAAAAAAAAAAAAAAAAAUUCAUACUCACGUUAUUGAUGGGAGGAGAGGGAGAGGGGCAGUAGGAGUGGGCGAAGAAGCGCCAGGGUCGGCAGGUGAGAACGAAAACGAGGAGGAGGAGGACGACGACGACGACGACGACGAUGAGGGCGGAGACGCCAAUGAGGCUCGGAGCCAUCUCCGUCGAGAGAGAUACCAAAAAGAGAGAAGAGGCGCGAAGGGCCGUUCUGAAAGGGUCGCAUCACCCCUCUUCUUCCUUCGUCCGCCCCACCUCCACCGCGCCCACUCCACAUCCCAUUGCUUCGGCUUUCUUUCUCAUAAUAAUAAUAGACGCAUCGUUUUGGGAACAAGCCGUCCUCGGUUUCAUCCCUUUAUUUAUUAUUAAAAAAUACUAGUCAAAAAAAAAAAGAAAAAAAAAAAAACCUAAAAGAAUUGUAUAAAAUUUUCUAGGCCAAUUUGCAUAAAAAAUUCACUAAUUUUGAGCUUUUAUAAAAAUAGGACACUUUUUUUAAUUUUGCAGAUUCGGACCAAAUUUUUCGCCAUCUGACCAAAAUGCUCCUUGUCUCUAUCCGCCUCACUCAUAUUCGCUCAUAUACAUAUACCACAAAAUACGGUCCCUAGGUGGGCAUUAAUUAAAUACGCCGUAAGCUUGGUUACGCAACCUCCUGCUCAUCGAAAUGCGAACCAAAUCGGCCUCGCUAUUUGCCGGCCCCGGUGUUUGCUGUUCUAUUUUUAGAAAUUAAAUAUAUCAAAACUAUCUGACAAAAACUACACGGCAAGCAAUAGAAAUAAUAGUGCAACGCGAAGAAGCAACGCGAAGGAGCAACACGAAAGAGCAACGCGAAGAUAAAUGGUGCAACAACCCUUCUAAUAGUGCAACUUGCAGGUAGUACUAGUACAAACUCCGCCGCUCACAUAUACAAUACUGGCAUUCAAUUUUCUCCCUCACCAGAGCAACAUCCCACUUCCCCGUAAGGCAGUCAAGCAGUCUU